CAGAAUGUGGCUAAAUUAGUAAAGCACCUCCCUUACACUGAGGAAAUAUCCGUGCAACUCGGAUCAUCCUGA
Molecule: transfer RNA, 72 nt
Filed under: Rhincodon typus (whale shark)
Lineage: Eukaryota; Metazoa; Chordata; Chondrichthyes; Orectolobiformes; Rhincodontidae
Description: tRNA-Val
Rfam family: tRNA
About the family: Transfer RNA (tRNA) molecules are approximately 80 nucleotides in length. Their secondary structure includes four short double-helical elements and three loops (D, anti-codon, and T loops).
Source: RNAcentral